Molecule: long non-coding RNA, 5190 nt
Filed under: Brassica napus (rape)
Lineage: Eukaryota; Viridiplantae; Streptophyta; Magnoliopsida; Brassicales; Brassicaceae
Description: long non-coding RNA (BNAP_LNC002568)
Source: RNAcentral
GGUUAUUGAAGACAUUGAUGAUGACAUUGUUGUUGGAGGUAGAGUUGAUGUUAGGACCAGGGAACUGGCCGUUGAUUAGAAUGACUUGUUGUGGAACGCCUAGAGGAGAGGCGGUUCCAUAGGUCACGUUCCAUACAUGGUGGAAGUAAGGGUCUUCUGCUCGGACCACCACCGUUGCAGCUGCGGCCAAGUAGAGACACGCGGCUAAGAGUUUAACCCCUCGCAUAUACAAUUUUUAUGUUUUUUCGUGGAGGGUAUUAAUUGAUUAUUGUUAUUGGAUUAUGUUUUGAGGUUUGAAUUUCGAGUUGUGGAAAUGUUUGAGAGCAUUUUUAUAGGGAUUGUAAGACGAAUGUUUUCUCCUGCUUUUUCUGGUCUUGUUUGGGUCUCCUCUCAUUUCGCUAUUUUUUUGUCCAUAUUUGGGAUAUUGAAGGUCAACCACUCCCUAUUUUUGGUGUUUAAUUUUUUUUUCUAUGUUUGGCUUUGGUUUCCAUGUCUUUGAAACUUUUUUCUGUUUUGGAUAUUUUUGAAAAAUUAUGAGAGAGCCAAACUUUAGUCAUAUGAUGAAACUUAAAAGUUAUAGAGAUAUACAAGUCAUUCUAAUCAACAGCCAAUUCCCUGUUCCAAGACCUCCAAUAACAGUAUCAUAGUUGUAUAAAACAAAAAGCAAUUAGCUAGAGAUAUCUUAUAUUACAUGCAAGUUGAUGAGUAGUCUGAAUAAAAGUUGACACAUACUAAAAUGAUAAAUAGAAACAAGUAUACACUUGAAAUUUCAAUUGAGGACAAUAAUAGCUAAAGAGGAAAUAACAGGAUCUAGACUAGCAGAUCCGUAGAGAUCUCUAGUUAGAUUGACCACGUUCACCAUAACUUGCAUGACCACGGUUUUAUAGACCACUCUAGGAUCAGUAGAGAUCUUUAUUUAGUUUUUUUUUUUUAUGUUGCACCAUCAUCAGUUCAUAUACUGAUCAUUUUACUCUCACAAAAGAUAACGGCUGAUCCAAGCCAGGAAGUGAAUGGGCAGCAUCCAAGUGGACUGUAAAUCCCGUCAAAUUCAUAUCUGAUACUAUUCAGAGGGUGCAAUGUGUAAAAAGAAUAAGCACUUAAAACCAACAUAAAUUCAGCGAUAAAUUACAUAUAUCACUUUGUAUAUAUCUAUUUUCAUCUAAACUUAGCGCAUAUAGCUCGUGUUGGAGUUAUUGACAUUUCUCAUAUAAACAAUUUUCUACUUAUGAAUCAUGUAUAAGUGGUCUCUAGUAAUCCAAAAUGUUGGGUUUGACAUUUAGACCGACUCACAUCUCAAGAGGGCUUAUUAAGUGUGACAUUUUUUUGGAAAAAAAAGAUUUGGAUAAUAUAUAUAUAUAUAUAAAUAAGUAAUGUGACAAAUCUUUUAUUUUUGAGUUAGAUUUUGAUGUGAUAAUCCGAAAUGAUGGGUUUUUACAUGUUUCCAUUAGACAGUUUCAACUCGCAUCUCAAGACUCAAGAGGGCCUAUUAAUGUCUUACAUUGUUUGGAUAAAGAAGAUUUGGAUAAAGUAAUGUGACAAUCUUUUAUUUUUGAGUUAGAUUUUGGAUGUGAAUUAGACCAAUUAUUAGUAGGAAUGAAGAGACAUGUCUAUGUGUUACACCAAAAAAAAAGAUAAGAAAAAGAAGAAACAUGUCUCUACGCAAUGUUCCUAGAAUACUAGCUUUUGUUUUUUGAAAUAUAUGUAUCAAGAAUAAAAAUGCGAGUCCUUAAUCUUAAACUUACAAACUGUAGUAACUUAUGUAGUUUUGUUAGGAGACCAAAACAUUUUUCCGUGUGUAUACAGUAGCUAAAGCAUGUUAAAACAAACAAAUAACUUCAUGACACACUUUGUGAGUUAGUUAAUUUAGCAUCGUUUGAGAAUAUUUCCAUUAUUAGAAUAUGACCCGAGUUGUGUGUUUGUUCAAAACGUUGAAACCCAUGAGAACCAAAGAAAGUGAUUCAAAAAUAGAACUUACACAUAUAGUAAAAAUAACAAAAAAGGAACAAAGAAUUAGAGAUGAAGCGUAAGAUUAGGCAGCGAUUCCGUGCAAACCAAGGUACUUUCACCUGCAUAAAUAGUUAAUCACGACACCAUCCAAAAAAACUCGUCAAGAGCAAGAGAACAUAGUCUCUUCUUGCUUUUGAGAAAAAAAUAAUUUUUAUGUAGGAAAGGGUUAAUUUAUCAAUAAAAAUAUAUAAAAAGAAGUAGAAAAGAGAUAAUGCAGGGUGGUAAGCUUUUAACGGUGUUUGUGUGCCUUGUCUCGACGGUGGCGCUGGUGAACGCCGGCGAUCCUUACUUCUACUACACGUGGAACGUGACGUACGGAACCGCCUCGCCUCUCGGAAUCCCUCAACAGGUGAUUCUCAUCAACGGACAGUUCCCUGGUCCUAACCUAAACUCUACAUCUAACAACAAUGUCGUCAUCAAUGUCUUUAACAACCUUGACGAGCCUUUCCUCUUGACCUGGUUAGUAACCAUUUCCUCUCGUUUCUUGUUUACUAAUUACGCGUUUUUGCAUGAGCAUAUUGUUUUGAAGAUCAAAUAAUAUUUUGAACGAUACAAAACAUUUUUUUUUCAUUUUAAUACACUUUCUUACAAAGGUCAUACGCCAAAUGCAAAAAUAACUUCUCAAAUCGUUUGAUGUUUUCAUUUUACAAUUUACAAAUCAAUAUUUUUUCCACAUAUUUAAGAUUGGACAUUCAUUUGAAAAUAGAAAAUAUGUCUUGGUUAAGUUAUGUUAUUUUGUUUCUUGGUUUUUAGUUUGAAAAAUUCAUAACUAAAUUUAAAUCAAAAUCUUUUUGGAUCAUUCAAUUAAUUGGUUUAAGAAAAGUUUGUUUAAUUUCCGUUCAGAUAGUAGUUUCUUUAACAACAAGUGUUAUAUUAAUUUCACAUAAUGAUAUCUAUAUAUAAUAUGUAUACAAAUAAAAUGUAAUAUUUUAGUUUGGUUUAGUUUAGUUUUGAUUUUAGAUUUGUUUUGCAUUAGGUUUGGUUAUAUGGCUACAACUAUACAUGUCUAGUUUUCAUUGUAACUUUGGAUAUUGAGUCCUGACUAACUAUGGGUUCGGUGACAUGGCAGGAGUGGUCUCCAGCACAGGAAGAACUCAUGGCAAGAUGGUGUGACUGGGACCUCAUGCCCAAUCCCAGCAGGCACCAACUACACUUACCACUUCCAGCCAAAGGACCAGAUCGGUAGUUACUUCUACUACCCAUCCACCGCUCUCCACCGUUUCUCCGGUGGUUUCGGUGGCCUCCGUGUCAACAGCCGUCUCCUCAUCCCCGUCCCUUACGCUGACCCCGAAGACGACUACACCGUCCUCAUCAACGACUGGUACACCAAGAGCCACACCGCUCUCAAGACCUUCCUCGACAGUGGCCGUACUCUUGGCUCCCCUGACGGCGUUCUCAUCAACGGUAAGUCCGGCAAAGUCGGAGGACAGGACAAGCCACUCUUCACCAUGAAGCCAGGAAAGACAUACAAGUACAGAAUCUGUAACGUUGGAUUCAAGUCCACUCUUAACUUCAGGAUCCAAGGACACAAGAUGAAGCUUGUUGAGAUGGAAGGCUCCCACGUUCUCCAAAACGACUACGACUCACUAGACGUCCACGUCGGACAGUGCUUUGCUGUUCUUGUCACCGCUGACCAAGCGGCUAAGAACUACUACAUGGUUGCAUCCACUAGGUUCCUCAAGAAGGAAGUGAGCACUGUUGGUGUGAUGAGCUACGACAACGGAGUUUCGGGCUCUGUGUGGGAGACUCCGUUCAAUGCGUACCUAAGCUUACCAUCGAUUUUUCCCUGAGUGUUCACGAGCUUGAUUGUGCGUGUGAUGUUGAUCUUUCCAUAGUGGUAGGAUCCCUGAGGGUUAGGCCUAGCUGCACUUGCGGUCAAGUUCCACCUGAAUGAUCGGAACUGGUUCAACGACCAAGCCCAUCCAACAGGACCAGCUGGAAGCUGUGAAGAGGCGGGUCCUUUGCCUCCUUCGUAGCGGAGAAGUCCCGUUGUUGUAAUAACCUUCUUCAAGAACCUAGUGGAUGCAACCAUGUAGUAAUCUUUAGGUUCUUGAUUAGCGGCAACGAUGGUACCAUAGCACUGACCAACGUGAACGUCCAAAGAGUCGUAAUCGUUUUGAAGAACGUGAGAUCCUUCCAUUUCAACGAGCUUCAUUUUGUGAUUCUGAAUCCUAAAGUUGAGGGAUGUCUUGAUACCCACGUUACAGAUCCUAACCCUGUAAGUCUUUCCAGGUUUCAAGGUGAAGAGAGGUGCAUCGGAUCCAUCGCCUUUCCCGGACUUUCCGUUGAUGACAAUACCGUCUGGACGACCAAUAGUACGACCACCGUCGAGGAAUUUCUUUAACUGAGUGUGGCUCUUAGUGAACCAGUCACCGAUGAGGACGGUGUAGUCAUCUUCUGGAUCAGCAUAAGGGACUGGGAUGAGGAGACGGCUGUUGACACGGAGACCACCGUAUCCACCAGCAGCACGGUGCAUACCAGUGGUCGGGUAAUAGAAAUAGCUUCCGAUCUGAUCCUUAGGCUGGAAAUGGUAUGUGUAGUUGGUGCCGGGCAUGAUUGGACACAUGGUCCCUUGUGUCCCAUCUUGCCAACAGUUCUUCCUGUGUUGGAUACCAUUCCUAAAAUAGGCAAGAUACAUAUUAUUAAAAAAUCAGUGUUCUAAAAAUCGGUUUAGCGCCAUAUAACAAAACAAUAAAUUUUCUAAGGAUCAGAUCAGUUUAAAAAAUCGGUUUAAAUGUCCGGCACUAAUUCUGUAUAGAACAUUUAAUGAUCGUCUAUUGAUUUUCUUAACAUUGAUUAAAACACAUGCAUAUAAAUCGAGAAAUGCUGUUUGUAGAUAUUAUUUUGGUUAAAUUAAUGAUUAUUACCAAGUGAGGAGGAAGGGUUCGUCUAGGUUAUUGAAGACAUUGAUGAUGACAUUGUUGUUGGAGGUAGAGUUGAUGUUAGGACCAGGGAACUGGCCGUUGAUUAGAAUGACUUGUUGUGGAACGCCUAGAGGAGAGGCGGUUCCAUAGGUCACGUUCCAUACAUGGUGGAAGUAAGGGUCUUCUGCUUGGACCACCACCGUUGCAGCUGCGGCCAGGUAGAGACACGCGGCUAAGAGUUUAACCCCUCGCAUAUACAAUUUUUAUGUUUUUUCGUGGAGGGUAUUAAUUGAUUAUUGUUAUUGGAUUAUGUUUUGAG